RNAcentral lists this ribosomal RNA (65 nucleotides) under Paenibacillus odorifer. RNAcentral's name for it is "partial 16S ribosomal RNA". It matches the Rfam family "Bacterial small subunit ribosomal RNA", at positions 1 to 65 of the family's 1533-position model. Lineage: Bacteria; Bacillati; Bacillota; Bacilli; Caryophanales; Paenibacillaceae. The record is from RNAcentral.
UAAUUGGAGAGUUUGAUCCUGGCUCAGGACGAACGCUGGCGGCGUGCCUAAUACAUGCAAGUCGA